UUUUAUGGAGAGUUUGAUCCUGGCUCAGGAUGAACGCUGGCGGCGUGCCUAAUACAUGCAAGUCGAGCGAACGGACGAGAAGCUUGCUUCUCUGAUGUUAGCGGCGGACGGGUGAGUAACACGUGGAUAACCUACCUAUAAGACUGGGAUAACUUCGGGAAACCGGGGCUAAUACCGGAUAAUAUUUUGAACCGCAUGGUUCAAAAGUGAAAGACGGUCUUGCUGUCACUUAUAGG
Molecule: ribosomal RNA, 236 nt
Filed under: Staphylococcus aureus
Lineage: Bacteria; Bacillati; Bacillota; Bacilli; Caryophanales; Staphylococcaceae
Description: partial 16S ribosomal RNA
Rfam family: Bacterial small subunit ribosomal RNA
Source: RNAcentral